RNAcentral lists this ribosomal RNA (460 nucleotides) under uncultured bacterium. Its description in RNAcentral is "partial 16S ribosomal RNA". It matches the Rfam family "Bacterial small subunit ribosomal RNA", at positions 338 to 795 of the family's 1533-position model. The record is from RNAcentral.
CCUACGGGAGGCAGCAGUGAGGAAUAUUGGUCAAUGGACGAGAGUCUGAACCAGCCAAGUAGCGUGAAGGAUGACUGCCCUCUGGGUUGUAAACUUCUUUUAUAAAGGAAUAAAACGAGGCACGUGUGCCUUUUUGCAUGUACUUCAUGAAUAAGGAUCGGCUAACUCCGGGCCAGCAGCCGCGGUAAUACGGAGGGUCCGAGCGUUAUCCGGAUUUAUUGGGUUUAAAGGGAGCGUAGAUGGGUUGUUAAGUCAGUUGUGAAAGUUUGCGGCUCAACCGUAAAAGUGCAAUUGAUACUGGCAGUCUGGAGUACAGUUGAGGUAGGCGGAAUUCGUGGUGUAGCGGUGAAAUGCUUAGAUAUCACGAAGAACCCCGAUUGCGAAGGCAGCUUACUAAACUGUGACUGACAUUGAUGCUCGAAAGUGUGGGUAUCAAACAGGAUUAGAUACCCCUGUAGUC